This 485-nucleotide ribosomal RNA is filed under the name uncultured bacterium. Its description in RNAcentral is "partial 16S ribosomal RNA". It matches the Rfam family "Bacterial small subunit ribosomal RNA", at positions 30 to 506 of the family's 1533-position model. The record is from RNAcentral.
AUUGAACGCUGGCGGCAUGCCUUACACAUGCGAGUCGAACGGCAGCACGGGUGCUUGCCCCUGGUGGCGAGUGGCGAACGGGUGAGUAAUACAUCGGAACAUGUCCUGUAGUGGGGGAUAGCCCGGCGAAAGCCGGAUUAAUACCGCAUACGAUCUACGGAUGAAAGCGGGGGACCUUCGGGCCUCGCGCUAUAGGGUUGGCCGAUGGCUGAUUAGCUAGUUGGUGGGGUAAAGGCCUACCAAGGCGACGAUCAGUAGCUGGUCUGAGAGGACGACCAGCCACACUGGGACUGAGACACGGCCCAGACUCCUACGGGAGGCAGCAGUGGGGAAUUUUGGACAAUGGGCGAAAGCCUGAUCCAGCAAUGCCGCGUGUGUGAAGAAGGCCUUCGGGUUGUAAAGCACUUUUGUCCGGAAAGAAAUCCUUGGCCCUAAUACGGUCGGGGGAUGACGGUACCGGAAGAAUAAGCACCGGCUAACUACGU